CCUACGGGAGGCAGCAGUGGGGAAUAUUGGACAAUGGGCGAAAGCCUGAUCCAGCAAUGCCGCGUGAGUGAUGAAGGCCUUAGGGUUGUAAAGCUCUGUUGUUAGGGAAGAACAAGUACCGUUCGAAUAGGGCGGUACCUUGACGGUACCUAAUCAGUGCUACCGCGGCUGCUGGCACGUAGUUAGCCGGUGCUUCCUUUGAGGGUACCGUCAAGAGUCGCCUGGAUAUUAGCCAGGCAACUUUUCUUCCCCUCCGACAGGGCUUUACGCCG
This 272-nucleotide ribosomal RNA is filed under the name uncultured Bacillus sp. RNAcentral's name for it is "partial 16S ribosomal RNA". The stretch from base 1 to 197 matches the Rfam family "Bacterial small subunit ribosomal RNA", at positions 338 to 545 of the family's 1533-position model. Lineage: Bacteria; Bacillati; Bacillota; Bacilli; Caryophanales; Bacillaceae. The record is from RNAcentral.